Molecule: long non-coding RNA, 36379 nt
Filed under: Eucalyptus grandis
Lineage: Eukaryota; Viridiplantae; Streptophyta; Magnoliopsida; Myrtales; Myrtaceae
Description: long non-coding RNA (EGRA_LNC003683)
Source: RNAcentral
AGCUCGCGGCUGUUAGCUCUUCGAUCGGGCUCGUAUCGAGCAGGUUUUAGAGGGGUUUCUGGUUUUGAGGUCUUUAAGAUGUGAUUGCUUUUGCCGUGAAGUUUGAACUGGUUCCGAUGCCAUCGGCGUCGUCGAUGUGCGAUUCGCGAAUCAAGUAUCGAGAGAUGCGCCGUUAGGCCUUUGUUGUUUGAAUCAGAUGCGAGGAGGCGGGCUCUGAGGAUGUGUAGGUUUUGUAGGUUUGUUUGCAUUUUAGAGCAUUUGAACUCGUGUCGGAUGAUUGGGCUGUCUGAUAGUGGUUCUUUACUUGAGUGGUCGGUUUUAACGAUCCUCCUGUCGUGAGGAUGAUGAGAGUAGAUUGUGAUAAGUGAAUGGGCUCCUCGAAAUUUAAAGGAUUUUGUUUGCUGGUCGAAAGGUCCACUUGGUUUUGUCUGGUUUAGAUAUGAUGAGAAAAGGAUUAAGUCAAUUCAGGGUAGAGGGUUUCCAUAUCUAAAUCUGCAAGACUAUCGCGUGGAAUAAUGGAGCUGAAAAAGCAUUCAGUUGAACCAUGAUACUUAUGAUAUUCAUUGACAAUCACAUGAACUGCUUGACUAAAAUUAUCAGAAAAGAAUUUUGGGAAGAAUACUGAAAAUCUAAUGUUCAAUAAUUCAAACAAAAUCUAACCAAAAUGAAGGUGAAUUCCUACACCAUAGGUAGGAUAUUACAGAAAAUGUCAGUACCUGAGGUGCAUAUACACAACCAAGGGCACCGACUAUAAUUCCUCCUAAGACAAAGCCGCCAACAAAGAUGCUUGCACUGCUCGGCCUUCCACCAUCUCUGCAUAAGAGAACAAGGAAAAGACUUGCAUCAGAUACAUUCAAUCACAACUAGGACUAUAGCCAUUACGUCACAAUUUGAUAGAAUUAUUAAAAUUUUAGGAAAUGAGUUUUGUAUUAUGAACAGAAAUUUCUUGUUGUCGGCUGACCUAUCUAACAUGUCAAGCAUAAAACGAAAGAAUUUAUUAUUGAAAUAAAUAUCAUUGGUUGUGGAAUGCGUUUGCCUCCACUGCAUGAGUCUUCCAGAUCCAUCCUUGCCCAAAUAGAUUUAGAAAAACAUUUUCCACGCUGAUCAGAUACACAAGUUUAGAGUAACUAAACUAUGUCUGCACAUCAAUGGAAGGAAGUCAGGAAUAGAGAAACAGGACAAGGAAAUACUGCAUAAAACUGUGUCCUGGCUCUCUCUUUCCCUCCUCCCUCGGCCCUUUUCCCCUCAACUUUUUCCUUUCCCUCUGUCACCCACAACAUUUUACAGAUUUGCCAGAUCUUGACAAGUAUUCAAUGUGUCUCUGUUUUGAAUACCCAUUUCUGCAACAUAAGGUCUAUACAGGUCUGACAUAGACGGGACAAUAAUAGAAGAAACACUGACUGCUGAUUAAGCUUCCACUUAGUAAUUGCAUCCAAAUUCUAGUAGUCAGAUUAUGGCAACAUAAACCAUAAAAUGUAGAAUGACGUCCUAUCAUAUCAGAAGUUAAGGAAACGUGUUCAGCUAUAACUUGUAUAUCAUCUGAUUCAAAUCAAGAAAGGGAGUAAGAUGCCGAUGUCUAAAUAGAGGAUGCACAAAACCUCUGCUCGGCAAUCGGGCAGAUUCAUUCCAACAUGACAAGAUGAACAUUUCGAGUGAGAAUUACACCGUGAGUCAUGCUAAUGUGGUAGCACACGCCCAUCACGUACUCUAGUCUUCAUCGCAAGUUUUUGCACAUUCAUCGAAAACGAGCACCACACCAACAAGUCGUACGAUAUAUCGAUCAGGCGAAAGGCUUUCCCGCGCAAGACAGCUAAUCAUCACAAGCAUGCGGCAGGUGACGACACCCAUAAGAAGCCGCACAAUGCAACUUCUUUAUGAGAUAAAAGCAAUAGGCAAGGCAGACGGCCGCAAAAACUCGAUUUCCCGCCGUGAUCUGCAGUCAAUCACAGGUCUCGAGCUCGCUAAACUCAUCGCAGGCUACUUAAUGCAACUGUCGCAAGUGCACAGGAAUUAGUAACACUGAUUUACAGGCAUUUGCCUUCUCUUCAUCUCGCGGCUCGCCAACAAACAUCCGUCUCAUUCAGCUUUUUUCUAGGAUCAAGCGCGAUUCAAAGCUAGCGAUCAGCACAAAACAUCGAACGGAAAGACGAAAUCGAAAGGGAGAUUGUUACUCGACGAGAGCUGCGCCCGGGGAUUUCUCGCUGAGGCCAGAGGACUCGAGACUGCGCUCAUCGUUACGGCGUGCGGCGUAAGGUGGGAGCGAAGCGCGAGGGCAACGAGGUUCGAUUCGAGAGCGGAAUGAGAAAUGGAAGGAGGGAGGAGAUUAGAAAAUGGACGAUCCGUUGUGGUGCUCAAUAGUAUCGAUGCAGCUCGCUCGCUUGGGAGCGACACAGUCGAAGAGACGAAGAGCGGUGGCGAUCCCCUGCUUCGAAGACUGAACGUAAAGGAUAUUGUCAAAGUUUGAAGACUGCCAGAAGACUGAACGUAACACAUGUCCAAAGUUUAUUUUGAAGAUUUUCAGACUUAGACUGCCAGACUUUAGUGUCGAAGACUGUUCUACAUCAGAAGUCUGCCCACUCUGACAAAUUCCAGACUGAACGUGAAUGAAGAACCAGAAGACAGACUCUAUGCUGAAGUUGAACUUAUUCAGGUUGUGUUCAGACCUUAAAGCUAAAUCUGUUCAGAAGCAAACUAUGUUCAGACUUACGUCCAGAUUAUAAAGUCUAUUGCACUCAGACUUUACUUCAGACUGAAGAGUCUGAACACUCUCAGACUUUACGUUCAGAAUGAGACACAAGUUCAGGACGUAGCAGAUUCAGAACGAAGCAUGUUCAAAACGAAACAACUUGACAGAACGUAACACUAGUGAUCUAGUUUGGAUUUUACAUCAAGAUAGAUUUGAUUGACUCAAUCUAAUUGAUUGACUCAAUCUAAUUGAUUGACAAUUGGAUCGUGAAGGCAAGAACUUUCUAUACGAAGAAGUUUUAUUUAUGGAAACCAAGAUUCUAGUUGUAUGAGCGAUCAUAAUCAAUAUCAUAAUCAAUUUGGGAUUCUACUUUAUCACUCAACGAAUAUUAAAUCUUCUAGAUAUAGAUCUGUUCAAUGGGUAAGUUGGAAUUGUCCAACGGCUAGUUUGGAUGUGGAGGAGUAUUUAAGGAGAUCAAGGACCGAUGAGCAAGUAAGAGACGGAGCGUAGAAUUUAUAAUUCCAAAGUUUAAGCGACCUUCGAUUAUACACUUGUCUCUUGUGAACUUAAACGUUUGUGAUCGUGAGAGAAAUGCCAAAAGAGUGACUUAGUGAGAUAGUGUGAUCUACCUCUGAAUGUUUGCACUCAAAGUUGUAAUCUCUUGUUGGUUACAUAGUGGAAUCCAGCCAAAAGGCUGUUAGCGUGGGAGAGUGGACGUAGGCUUAAUUUAAGCCGAACCACUAUAAAUUCUGUGUUUUUAUUCUCUUCUCUGAACUCCUUUAUUUUGUUCGUAGUUCUAUUUAACUCCUAAAGUCUGAAUUUGCUAAAAGUUUGUUGUUCUUCAGACUCAGUUUCAAAAGUAAAAUAUUUCUACUGUUCUUUGCGAAAAAUUAUCUUCACACCUAUUCACUCCCCUCUAAGUAUUUAUACUAGCACUUACAGUGCCUUAUCUGGACAAAUGCUUUGCUAAUGUGCAAGCUUACUUGGCAUUAUUAGCCAUAUGAAUUCAAGGUAGGAUCUCCUCUAGGAAAGGAACGCAAGCGUGGAUUUGUAGAUAAUCCAAAUGGAUUAUUUUCAGCACAGGCAACUCCCAAGCCGCCACCUGCUAUGUACUCGAUAAUAGAAGGGAUGAAAGUGGGUGGAAAAGUGAUUUUCUCUUGGUUCCCAACGGUAGUAAAUAUUCACUAAUGUGGCUAGUUUGCCAUUCAGUACUUGAAUUGCAUACCCUUUGACUAGUGCUGUUGUAUUUUCCUUGUCAUAUCUUCUCUGUCUUAUUGUUCUUCAAGUUUCGUCCUUUUUCAGAGAACAGUGAUUGUUCCGCUGGCUAUGGUGAGAAGGGAAUGGCCGAGAUACCGGUAGUCUUUGUAUUUUUGAUCAUGACUAACAAUCAUUUUUGUUGUGACAUGAGUACCUUUAUUAUGGCCAUCAAAUCAGCAGGUCGUCAAAUGAUGUCAUUGGGAAUUAACAAACUUCGUGUUUAGGAGCUGAACAUACCACCAAAUGCCUGGUUCUUAGAGCUUGCUUGAAUUUUAUUGCAUGUUUUAAGAUUUCAAUUCCAAUCCUAACUGAGGUUUUUGGUGUAUUUGCAUGUUGGCUGGAGUUCAGCUGCAUUUGGCAUCUCUGAAAGUGUCAUUACAUGUUGUUGAAAGGUAAAUAUAAUUUAUUCCCGAGAGUAAUUGUGUUUUCCUUUUCCAGCCAGGAGCCACCUUUGAACUGAAUAUCGAGCUUCUGCAAGUAGAACAGCCUGAAAGAAGCCAGACUUAGCAUUGGGUGAGCAGGACCAUGAGGAGAUGGAGUUGAUAUAAUGCUGAAAUUUUGUCUCUUUUUCUUCUAACAAAAGGCAGAUGAGUCAGCUGAGGGAUCCUUAUGGGCAGAGCAAUUAGUCAGAUUGAAAUUGUGACUCUCUAGUUUCUACAUAUGCUAUCUGCAUCAAAAAAGCCCCUGCACAUUUUGUAUGUAUCUACCAGGAUUUUGGAAUUCAACGAAACACCUUCUUCAUCUUCUUCAUCUUAUGAUAUUCUUGCUUCUAAUGCUGCAGAAUUCACUGAUAUUGUUUGUAUUGUAUAAAUGAGACUGUUGACCGCAGGAGUAGAGACUAAAUUUCCAAACUUCUCUCCCAUCCUCUUCAAGGAAAACAUGAUCGGCACCUGCUUGCAACAAGCUCUGGUUUAUCUUAUCACAAAAAUAGGAACAUUGGAUGAUAGUUAGGAACAGUGUUUUUGUGCUCUGCCAUACUUACAGUUGUGAAUCUGGCAUUCUUAUUCCAUCAACCUAGAACAUUUAUUGAAUGAAGAAGCAAAAUUUAGAAGGAUGAGGAGCAUGGAAGUUGCAACAGAAUUGCAUAUUAUGUCAAAACGAGUAGUCCACUGUGUCAUUUUUUUUUUCUUUUGAAUUGCUGGCUUUUUUCUUUAAUAAUGAAAAAUUCCACCAUAGAUAAACUCCAACCUGUGAGAUUCCUCAAUAAUCUUGUAGACAAGUCACAUGGGAGCCAAAAUUUCCAUUUUCCUUUUGGAAAUUGUGCACGGCAUUUUACAUAUUAAUCUUAGUAUGAAGCACGAAGCCUAAAAUCAAUAUGGAAGGGUGGUUUUACGGUAACUUUCGUUUUCUAUGAGUGCUUCAUAUUGUGCUAAAUGAUUAGAUCCUGUUUAUUAUUAUUUGAUAGUCUUAGUUUUUGUGGUUUUAUGGCAUAAUAAGGGCCGUUUUCAGCAAUUAAUUUUGUCAGUUUGAUAUUCUAAUUGCCAAAAUCCCACACCAGGAAUCCUCUUAGAAUACACACACAUUCGUUCAUUACCCAUUGAAUACAUUAUACAUACAACGGACUAAUGGAGUAUUUCAUAAAACAAAGAAAACAUGCGACGGAGUUAAUAUUUGUCAGUUUAUCUUUAGGUAACAUUUACAUUUUCGUUGAAAUGUAUUUUCCCUUGGUUCAUUUCUAGCAAAACUAAAAGCAUCGUUUCAUUUUAUGUUUGAUUCGUGUAUAUUUUGAUAAUUCGAUGGGUCUGGUUUACACAAUUCCAGUUUAUUCAAUAAUUAACUAUCGGCAAUUGUUCGCUUUUAUAAAAAAAUUCACUAUCACAAGUCAGAACACGAGGUUGAAAUUGUUUGAAAAUGAAUGGGAAAAAAAUGGAUAAUUACAACCUAAAAUUAUAUUGUCUUGGGCACUUAAGUACUAAGACUUUAUUUUAUGUAUUUAAAUUCUAAAACUUGCCAUUUUGAUGAAUUUUAAGACCUUCCUUCAGUUGAUGUUCAAAUGCAAGGAAUGAAAGUAUUAGAACUUAAGUUCAUGAAAUUGACAAGUUUAAGGAUUUAUGCUAAUAGUUAGCUUGAAAGAAAAUAUGAGCUUAAAUCAGCGUGAAAAUGAAAACCUUUUUCAUUAGUUUCGUUUCUCACAUAAUUUAAUUAUUUUUACGCUAAUGAAAUAUUCUGAAAUGCCGAGGAGGCAACUAGACAAACAGCUCACACAAUCAGGGAUAAUUACAUCAUACCCCCUUAGUUUUUUGGCUAUGGCAAUUUGCCCCUAAUAACUCAAUUUUUCCAUGUCAUCCAGACAUUUUGAAAUCUAGCGCAAUGUUGACCAAACACUCUACAUGGUAUCUCUCAUUUUAGAUUUGAUGAAAUGUGAUGAACUAAGAUGAGAUAGAGGGAAAGAAGAGGGGAUAGUGAUUGCUAACGGAGACAAGCAAUGCCUAUUACCUUGGGAUUGGUUGGUGCUCGUAGUGACAAUGGUCGAUGAUUCAGGUGCUCUUGCUUGGAUUACCAUUGCGUAAAAAAGAAUCAUAUCGAGCGAGAGACGAUCAAUCCUUUAUGGGGUGACAAAACCUAAGAAAGGGCAAAUGCCCAAGUAUCCUAGUUGUAAGUCAAUUCCCCCUCCUCCCUCUCCUCAUUAUCUUUUUGUAGUUUUCCUUCAUUUUGUUUAGUCAUAAGUUAUGUCUUUUGAUAUUAAAAAUACUAUAAAGAGAAGUGUUCCAACGAAUUUCCAAAGAUUCCAAAGAUCAGGGGGUGUAUUGCAAAAGUUUUAAAACAUCAACAUCAGGGGCUAAUUCGUAAAUGUGUAAUGCAAUUCUCCUGAAUUUUGGACAUUUUUGCCCUUCACAAAAGGAACCACCUAGUCAAACUUUUCAGUUGUAUCAGCCACUGAUAGUGGGAUUGGGAACUUUCUUAUGUGGAAAAAAGCACUGAUAUCUGAAAAUGGAGAAAGCUGAAGGAUUUGUCUAGCUCUAAAGGGGAAAAACCCUACCAAACUUUGCUGCUUUAAGGCCAUAUCAUAGCAGAUGAACGUUCGGCUUUAGAACAAUAAACUUGGAAGGAUUUUUCACCUACAUGGUUUCUGACGUGGAGGUUCUUUUAAUCCAGAAGGGCAACAACAGAGCUUGUCCUAAGGGUGUUUUGCUCCUCCAAUCUCUGCUACGUCCAAAUAAAGAUCUAGGGUCUUUAAAUUGUCAAGUUCUUUGAAGGCCCAAAAAAAAAAGAAAAAAGAAAAAGAAAAAUCUAAUCUUGUCUUUGCUGGUUCUGUUCCUUUCGAAGGCAGAGGUGGCUUGCGAAUGCAUUUUCCCCGUUGACAGAGUAAGCUGUACCUGAAAUUGAUCUAAUCUAGUGAAAAUCUAUAGAUGGAGAUAUCAGAAUGGCAUUCACUCUUGAGUUCAUUUUUUUAAUUUUCUGUUGGGUACUUGCAGAGAGACAAAUUAAUGAUCUCACAGCAGAGAGUUGGUUUGGAAGAGUACACGGCUCGCAGAAAGGCUCCUUUCUAACCUUAUUGAACUGCAUAGAAUUGGUUAAUGACAUCUGGUCAUACCAAAGUUGACCUGAAGUGGCCUCUCAAUUGGCUAAUUCAUUAGAUAAGUGCAUAAUAUGUUGCAGCGUGGCAGCAAAUCUGGAUUGGCAUCAUGACUAUUUUCACGCUGCUGUUACUUUCAGCUUGCUUGAAUUUUCAUUGCUGUCUAACGAUAUGAUGCAAGAAUGUGCAUGCAAUCAGGGGUUCCAUUGGAGCAUACGUGCAUCUGUUCGUUGAGAAAAUAACAUCAGAUAAUAUACAAGAUGUACGACUAAGCACCAUGUGACCUAGUAGUUUCUACCGUGUGGACAAGAUGAACCACGACAGGUGAUAUAAUAAUUUCUCAAGUUUUCUCUUUUCUGACAGAUACAUAAUCAGUGUUGUUUAUGAGUGCAGACAUACUUAGAAGAUGCACAACCAGAGAGAAACAAUCAUUUUCGUAAGAAGAUAAUGAAUGACUACUAUUCCCCAUCCAUACCAUCGCACCAGCAUAAGGCCCUUGAUGCAGAGUCUUGAGCAUUGCUGUGAAAUUUCCAUGUCAAUCUAAGUCAUAAAGUUCUUCUGUUGGGAUUCAUACUGUUCACAAGCUUCCUAAAUGAGCAAUGAUCCUCUGUUUUGGGAGAUAGGACACUCUGGAAUAAGAAACUGCUAUUUUGGAUUCAGCUUUGUCAUGUAGAAUAUUUCAAAGCUUAAUUUCCGUGUCAGUGGCAGUUCGACAAUGGUGUAGUAGAGUUAGUCUUACUUCUCGAGCAUUAUUGACAGAGAAAUACUUGGAGGAUAAUCCCAAGCCAAAAUCAGUACAGGAAGAGAAGAACAGGGAAGGGAUUAGAGAUGAAAGCAAAUGGGUCAAGACAGCAUCCAGCUGUGAGUAGCUGCAUUAUAAGGAGGAAUAACUUGACAAACAUUCUAAUCUUGGUAUUACAGCCACUCAUAGCUUACUUGUUCAUUGCGGUGCCGCCACUUCCAGUGCGCUGCAUGUUUUUUAAUCAAAAGCUGUGUAUUGAUCGGCAGCGACUUCCCUAGUCAAACAGAAGUGCAAACCGUGUUACAUUCAGAGACCACAUGUUUCAAAUAAUGUUUACUAAAAAUGAAAGAUCUCCUGGUUCCUGAAUUAAACGUAGCCACAUAUGCACGAUGAAUAAUGGAGUCCUAAACGAAUAGGUCACCAACUAAUCUUUCAGUCCUUGGUUUGAGACAUAGUUUUGGAGAUGUAGAACUGCCUGCAUAAUGUCCAAGGACAAGCCCGUUUCUAAGGACAGAUUGUGCAUAGGUCUUUACGUAUCUAUACGUAUUUUAGUUCCUUGGAGACAUGAGUCUUUACCAUCCUGAAGCGAUUCUUUUUUCAGAUCUUAGUCGGAGCAUCCAAGAACGGCCAGGAACAUUGAUAAGGGCUUGAUCUACUCCAGCAAUUGAAAGGAUAAACAAUUCAGUAACCAUCUAGAGAUAAAGAAACAUGCAUUCAUACCACCGCCUGUGGCCUAGCUGGAUAAGAGCCUCUAUGAAGUUUACCCAGGAUAGAGGGGUUCAAAUCCCGCGGGACGCACGGGAUCUUAAGCGCGACGUCGGGGUGGUGGGUCUUCCGCUAGCGUCGCCCUAGGGUUUGCCUGCCAGCUGCCGGCUAUACGGGGUUCCCUGGGUCAUCAAAAAAGAAAAAGAAAAAAAGAAACAUGCAUUCAAAUGUGAAAUCCUUUAACAUCGAAGAUAAAGAAACACGCUUUCCUACUUCAAAAAAGUAUUGACUCUUCAUCAAAGACAAAGAAACAAACAGUGAAAUCUUUUAUAAGGAGGCCAGUACUAGUUGUGUUCACUAAUUCAAAUGUGAAAUAUUUUAAUAUCAAAAAAGAAACAUGCGUUCCUACUUCUUUAACAUGUUCACAUCUGAUUGACUCUCGUACGUUUAUAGUUUCAUUCUAAAAAAUGUCCAAGGACAAACCCGUUUCUAUGGACUGAUUGUUCACAGGUCUUUACGUAUAUAUACGUAUUUUAGUUCCUUGGAGACAUGAGUCUAUACCAUCCUGAAGCGAUUCCCUUUUUCAGAUCUUAGUCGGAGCACCCAAGAACGGCCAGGAACAUUGAUAAGGGCUUGAUCUACUCCAGUAAUUGAAAGGAUAAACAAUUCAUUGACGGUCUAGAGAUAAAGAAACAUGCAUUCAAAUGUGAAAUCCUUUAACAUCGAAGAUAAAGAAACACGCUUUCCUACUUCAAAAAAGUAUUGACCCUUCAUCGAAGCCAAAGAAACAAACAGUGAAAUCUUUUAUGAGGAGGCCAGCACUAAUUAUGUUCACUAAUUCAAAUGUGAAAUAUUUUAAUAUCGAAAAAGAAACAUGCGUUCCUACUUCUUUAACAUGUUCACAUCUGACUGACUCUCGUACGUUUAUGGCCGACAAAGUCUUUUCCAGAGUCAGAGUCAAUGGUAGAAGAUUGGCUUGGGCGGUUCGCUGUUCCAUGACCACUGACUGAAGAUCAUUUACUUCAACGAUGUCUUUACUUUUAUGAAGAUGGGAUUCACUGGCCUCUUGUUUCUUCUUGACUUGCUUUCUUACCUACGCGCUUCCUUUGCCUUUGACUCAUGAAACCCGUGAGCAUGAAACCCGUGAGCCUUAGUUUUGCACAGUUUCGAUCAUGCCACUUGCUUCUUGGGAUUGCUCUUGCGCUGUGCUUUAACCGAGUUUCCUGCACCACCAAUGAAACAGACAGACUCGCGCUGCUCGCCUUUAAGGCCGGCAUAUUCGAAGAUCCUUUUAGGGUGCUCAGCUCAUGGAAUGAUAGCAUUGGGUUUUGCCAAUGGUAUGGCGUUAUAUGUGGCAGGAGACAUCAGAGGGUCACGGUGCUGGACUUGCGAUCACAAGGACUGUUCGGAUCAAUCUCUCCUCAUAUCGGAAACCUCAGCUUCUUAGGGGAAAUGUGGCUGCAAAACAACAGUUUCAAUCAAGAAAUCCCUCCACAGCUCGGCCAGUUGCGCCGCCUGCGUAUUCUGAUAUUGACCAGCAACUCGUUAGUUGGCGAAAUUCCCAGAAACAUAUUGAGUUGCUCAGAUCUGGUCCUCCUUUGGCUUGGGAAGAACGAACUAACUGGAGAAAUUCCUAGAGAGCUUGGGUCAUUGCUGAAGAUACGGGAGUUCGCUUUGGAUCGUAAUAAUCUUACUGGGAGUAUGCCUUCCUCCAUUGGGAACUUAUCUUCACUAGAGAUCCUUUUCUUGAGCGAGAACAACUUGAGCGGGAGCAUUCCCCAAGUUUUAGGCCACUUGAAAAACUUGCAAUUCAUUGGCUUUGCAGCAAACAGAGUGUCGGGUACGAUUCCAUCUUCAUUACUCAAUCUCUCUUCCUUAACUCAGUUUGAUGCUACAUCCAACCAGAUACAUGGGACACUUCCUGCAAGCAUAGGUCUCAAACUCCCAGAUCUUGCAGAUUUUAGCAUUUUCGGGAACCAACUUCAGGGACCAAUUCCUCCAUCGAUAUCAAAUUGCACAAAGCUAGAUAUUCUUCAGCUUGGAGAUAAUAGAUUUUCUGGAAAAGUACCUUCUUUAGAAAAUUUGUAUAAUCUUAGUUGGCUUCAAAUCCUUCGUAAUCAGCUUGGUAGUGGAGAACCUGAAGACUUGAACUUCCUUUGCUCAUUAACUAACAACAGCAAAUUAAGGUACGUGGGAAUCAGCAGGAACAAGUUUGGCGGAGUGUUGCCUAUAUGCGUAGGUAAUUUAUCCAGCACUCUCAUGGCAUUCGAUGUACGCAAUAAUCAAAUAUCUGGAAAGAUUCCGGAAGAAAUUGGGAAUUUUGCCAACGUGGAAGUGUUGUAUAUGAAUCUCAAUAAGCUUUCAGGUGUUAUCCCCUCAAAUUUGGGAAAUCUACGAAAUCUAUCAAAACUGUACUUAAGUGAUAACAACCUAGGAGGGACUAUUCCAUCUUCUUUAGGAAAUCUAAGCAAGUUGAUUGACCUAGACCUUUUUGGGAACAACUUUCAUGGGCCAAUUCCUUCGCAUCUAUCAAAUUGCAUGUCUCUUAAUUCGCUCGAUCUGUCUAAGAACAAUCUCAGUGGUGUUAUACCCUCGCAACUUAUGAGUCUUCCAUCAUUAACAAUCAUUUUGAACUUAUCUCAAAACCAUUUGACUGGGGUUCUACCCCUAGAAGUUGGCAACUUGAGAACUUUGACUGCGUUGGAUAUCUCGAACAAUUUAUUGGUAGGUGAAAUCCCAAGUAGUUUAGGUGGUUGCACUUCAUUGACAUCACUGAGGAUGGGAGGCAACUUCUUCCAUGGGUUGAUUCCUCAAUCAAUCAUAUCAUUAGGAGGCAUUGGAGAACUAGAUCUUUCAUGCAACAAUUUGUCGGGUCAAAUUCCAGAAUUCUUAACAAUAUUUCAUUCCUUGAAACUUUUAAAUUUAUCCUACAAUAACUUUGAAGGCGUGCUGCCACGUGAAGGAGUCUUUAGGAAUGCUACUGGUACUUCUAUUUUUGGGAACAAUAAGCUUUGUGGUGGGCUAUCAGAAUUUCAUCUCCCUAAUUGCAUCUCCAAAAGCUUCAAGAGUAGAAAGAUCAAUUUAGUGAUAUUGUCCACUUCUGUUAUUCUCGGAGUUCUUGGAAUAGCUCUUAUUCUAGCUUUCGUAUAUCUUUGUUGGUUGAAGAAGACGGUGAUGGAACCAGUUUCAAGUUCAAGGGAUGAUUCAUGUCCAAAUGUAUCUUAUGGAACACUCCUAAAAGCAACCGAUGGUUUUUCUUCAACAAAUUUGAUUGGUGCUGGAAGCUUUGGUUCUGUUUAUAGGGGUGUACUUGAGGUCAGUGGAACUACUGUUGCCGUGAAGGUGCUUCAUCUAGUCUAUCAUGGUGCUUUGAAGAGCUUCAAUGUCGAGUGCGAGACAUUAAAGAACAUCAGACAUCGAAAUCUUUUGAAGAUAUUGACAGUUUGCUCUAGCAGUGAUUAUCAAGGGAAUGAUUUUAAGGCCUUAAUCUAUGAAUUCAUGGACAAUGGUAGCCUAGAACGGUGGCUUCACCCAAGUGCAACAUCAUCUCAUCACAAUGGAGUUCCAAGAAAGUUGAAUUUCAUUCAAAGGAUAAAUAUUGCCAUUGGUGUUGCUUAUGCGCUGGAUUAUCUUCAUCACCAGUGCCACAUGCCCAUCAUUCAUUGUGAUCUAAAGCCAAGCAAUAUCCUCUUAGAUCGUGAGAUGGUCGCACAUGUUGGUGACUUUGGAUUGGCGAAAUUCCUUAUUGGAUCAUCUUUUGAUAUUGCAACUAAUCGGAUGAGUUCUGUGGGUUUUAGAGGGACAAUCGGUUAUGCUCCACCAGGUACUCUCUCUCUCUCUCUCUCUCUCUCUCUCUCUCUCUCUCUCUCAUUGAUGGUCUUCCUGUCUAAAGUUUGGUAGCGAAUAAUAAUUCUUAUAGUCUUACGCACAUUAGAUUCUGAUUAUUUAUAUGCACUCCAAAUUUGACCUGCACUUUGAUCUCCAUGUGUGGCAGAAUAUGCAAUGGGCUGUGAGGUUUCAAGAGAAGGUGACAUCUAUAGUUACGGCAUUCUUUUACUAGAAAUGUUCACAGGAUUAAGUCCCACCGAUGACACCUUUAGAGACAAUUUGACUCUUCAUGGUUUUGUCGUAAAAGCUUUGUCUGAACGAGUGCUCGGAAUCGUGGAUAGCGCUUUGCUUCAAGAAAGAGAGAGUUAUCUAUGUCCCUAUAAUCCUCAUCAUGACAUAUUUCAAGAGUGUUUGGUUAUGAUCUAUAAUAUUGGAGUUGCUUGUUCGAACGAAGUGCCUGGAAGAAGAAUGAGUAUUAGUGGAGUUAUAAAUCAGUUGCAUCGGAUUAGGGCAAAACUCCUUGCUUCGGGCUUACAUGGACAGGUAAAUUCUAUAAUUGAAGAGAGAAUCAAUCAUCCUUUUCUCCUUUAGACCAUAGUGGAUGAUUGUUCAUCAUCUGCAUCCGUACAUAUUUAACCUUACACAAGGCCUUGGGUGCCUACACUUUUUUCAGUAUUUUUGGUUUACUCAAAGCUCUGAUUUGGUGCCAUGUUAUAUAAAAGUGAAUCAAAAUAAAUUUUCAUGACCUUUUUUUUUUACCAUUUGUAUGAUGCUCUUUAAGACGUAUUGCAAUGAUUAGCUUGUGGAAAUCUUAUUUAAGGGAAAGCUUGGUUUCUGCAGAUCGGCUAGAUGUUCGGUCAAGAAAAAGCAAUACUACUACUCUGGUGGAUGAAUAAGGAUGUAUAGCUUUUGGAUUCAACAUAUACUACCAUGACAUGGACGUGCACAGCAGGAAUUAUUUGGGAUUGUUUUGUAGAAUGAUGUUACAUGACUAUUGGGUUUUUCUUAGUGUGUAAGUGGAAAUUCUCCAGCAUUACUGCUGUCAUUAAAUUUUAUUCUCGCAUUUUAGAAAAGUUACUUGAUCGCCUUUUUUCUCGAAAGCACCUAAUCACAUAUGCAUAUGACUUACUAUAGGUAUAUGGAGCAGUCAUAUUUCAUUAUAUGGGAUUUGUUAAUUGCGCAGAUAACCAGCUUUCAAAGUUAGAAAUUACUGAUUAAUCAAGAAAUUAGUAACCGUUGAUAUGCUCAAACUUGCUCCUCUAAAUAGAAAGUGACCAUAAACGUGGAGUUAUUAAAAAUUUAUAAUUUGAAAGUAAAGAUAUUUUUUAUCAUGACAAAAUUAGUGAUCACUGAAAUGCAAACACCUACUUUCCGUGGUGAAAACUUACUAGCCUGGUUAAAAGACUUGCUUAGUAUAAUAAUUUCUUGCCUGAGCUCACCGCUUAGUAUGAUUGCAUACCCAAAUUUUGUAUGAAAGUUAUUAAUGGCGUGGAGAAAAUUAUAAACUAUUAAUAGCGUAAUAAUAACUUUCUUCUUAAAGAAAGUUACUAUUCGCAUUGACAAAUAACUUGGUAUUAGGGGUGAUUGGUUCUUAAGUCUCAAAAUUGGGAACCACUGAUCUGGUCUAAUGAAACUGGUCAAUAUAUAUAUAUUCUUUUUAUGUUUUCACCUGAAUAUCUUAUUAUUCAAAACAUGACAAUGAACAAAUUCAAAACUUGAGACGAAUCUUAUGCUUCCAUUCGAAUAUCUUAUUGUCCAAUUACAGGUUCUUACUUCCUCAGAAACAGUAAACUAAAUCCACUAAUAUUUUGUGAAGAAAUAGAAAGAUAAGUAUAUGUAAUUGGUCCGCUCCGGUCUCUUGGAAUUGGGAACCACCAAUUCCAUUUUUAAGAAACGGGAACUAGACCAAAACUCUUAGGAAUCGGACCCAAUAGGCCGGUUCGGGUCGGUUUGGGUGGUUUCUGGUUUGGGCGAUCCGUUUUGCACGUUCCUACUAAGUACUUCAUUGCAACUGAUUUUAAAGCGUUGCGGGGUGGACAUUGCAAAAAUCGAGAUACCGCGGGGGCAAAUCGCGACGACCCCAAAAACCUAGGGGGCAUGAUGCAAUCUUUCCCCCAAAAGACCCGCAAAGUCUAGACACUAUGGCAGUCUGCUGCACUUACACAAAUUCCCACGCCAGUUGGAGAGGCGAUCUUGCACUCGCGCACGAAGAUGGGGUUUCGGUUCGACCUGCUGGUCCUCGCGGUGGCCCUGCUCUCGACUCCGGCGCUCUCCGAUCUGGUGUUGACCAGGGUCGAUCGGCGCGUGAGUGUCUCUCUCUUUUCUUCUCCUCCUUCCUUCUCCCCACGAGCUCUCGGCUGUCAACUCUUCGAUCCGGCUCGUAUCGAGCAGGUUUUAGAGGGGUUUCUGGUUUUGAGGUCUUUAAGAUGUGAUUGCUUUUGCCGUGAAGUUUGAACCGGUUCCGAUGCUAUCGGCGUCGUCGAUGUGCGAUUCACGAAUCGAGUAUCGAGAGAUGCGCCGUGAGACCUUUGUUGUUUGAAUCAGAUGCGAGGAGGCGGGCUCUGAGGAUGUGUAGGUUUUGUAGGUUUGUUUACAUUUUAGAGCAUUUGAACUCGUGUCGGAUGAUUGGGCUGUCUGAUAGUGGUUCUUUACUAGAGUGGUCGGUUUUAACGAUCCUCCUGUCGUGAGGAUGAUGGGAGUAGAUUGUGAUAAGUGAAUGGGCUCCUCGAAAUUAAAGGAUUUUUUGGCUGGUCGAAAGGUCCAAUGGGUUUUGUCUGGUUUAGAUAUGAUGAGAAAAGGAUUAAGUCAAUUCAGGGUAGAGGGUUUCCAUAUCUAAAUCUGCAAGACUAUCACGUGGAAUAAUGGAGCUGAAAAAGCAUUCAGUUGAACCAUGAUACUUAUGAUAUUCAUUGACAAUUACAUGAACCGCUUGACUAAAAUUAUCAGAAAAGAAUUUUGGGAAGAAUACUGAAAUUCUAAUGUUCAUUAAUUCAAACAAAAUCUAACCAAAAUGAAGGUGAAUUCCUACACCAUAGGUAGGAUAUUACAGAAAAUGUCAGUACCUGAGGUGCAUAUACACAACCAACGGCACCGACUAUAAUUCCUCCUAAGACAAAGCCACCAACAAAGAUGCUUGCACUGCUCGGCCUUCCACCAUCUCUGCAUAAGAAAACAAGCAAAAGACUAGCAUCAGAUACAUUCAGUCAAAACUAGGACUAUAGCCAUUAUGUCACAAUUCAAUAGAAUUAUGAAAAUUUUAGGAAAUGAGUUUUGUAUUAUGAACAGAAAUUUCUUCUCGUUGGAUGACCUAUCUCACAUGUCAAGCAUAAAACGAAAGAAUUUAUUACUGAAAUAUAUAAUUGGUUUUUUUAGAAUUGUGGAAUGCGUUUGCCUCCACUGCACGAAUCUUCCAGAUCCAUCCUUGCCCAAAUAGAUUUAGAAAAACAUUUUCCACGCCGAUCAGAUAUACAAGUUUAGAGCAACUAAACUAUGUCUGCACAUCAAUGGAAGAAAGCCAGGAAUAGAUAAACAGGACAAGGAAAUACUGCAUAAAAAUAUCUCCUGGCUCUCUCUUUCUCUCCUCCCUCGGCCCCUUUCCCCUCAACUUUUUCCUUUCACCCACAACAUUUUACAGAUUUGCCAGGUCUCGACAAGUAUUCCAUGUGUCUCUGUUUUGAAUACCCAUUUCUGCAACAUAAGGUCUAUACAGGUCUGACGUAGACGGGACAAUAAUAGAAGAAAAACUGACUGCUGAUUAAGCUUCCAGUUAGGAAUUGCAUCCAAACUCCAGCACCUCAACAUCAGAUCACAACUAAGUUGCAAUACUUGGCAGUACCUAUACUCAGCACUGACAGUGAGUUGCCUUGACGAGCGGAGCUGCAGCAUUCCAGUUUGAUUUGUAGCGAACAACAAGUUUGUCCACCGUACACUUCCCAGGCAUCGCCCUCGGGGAGAAGAACUGAUGGCUUGAGCGGACAACCUGGCAAUAUGUUCCGGAAUAAAUAGCAUAAGUCCACUUAACUAAAUGAUAAGUCGAAGCUCUAAGCACAACAAGCCUUAAAUAUCUACUGCCGGUGAAACAUGAGAGAAGAAACAAAGUUCUUCUAAAUCUAGGAGUCAGAUUAUGGCAACAUAAACCAUAAAACGUAGAAUGACGUCCUAUCAUAUCAGAAGGUGUUCAGCUAUAACUUGUAUAUCAUCCGAUUCAAAUCAAGAAAGGGAGUAAGAUGCGGAUGUCCAUAUAGCGGAUGCACAAAACCUCUGCUCGGCAAUCGGGCAGAUUCAUUCCAACAUGACAAGAUGAACCUUUUUCGAGUGAGAAUUACACCGUGAGUCAUGCUAAUGUGGUAGCACAUGCCCAUCACGCACUCUAGUCUUCGUCGCAAGUUUUUGCACAUUCAUCGAAAACGAGCACCACACCAACAAGUCAUACGAUAUAUCGAUCGGGCGGAAGACUUUCCCGCGCAAGACAGCUAAUCAUCACAAGCAUGCGGCAGGUGACGGCACCCAUAAGUACAGGUAAGCGGAACCUGGAACCUACCAUCGGGUACAGGUUCCUCAUUUUUUGGAACCUGGAACCUACCCGUCAUUUUUUGGAACCUGGAACCUACCCUGUCACAGGUUCCGGGGUCGGUUCCAGGUUCCAACAGGUUCCAACGGGUUCUUUUUUUUUUCAUUUUUAGUUUUAAAAAAAUGCUUCUAUUGGAACUUACCGAAUGAUUAAUUAGCCAAGCUAUAUUCCCUUUAUUUGUGGCAUCGAUUACAAGUUCUUCACUGAUCUUGAAGAGCUGCACAAUGUCUCAGCAUGUUUAGAAGACAAACUGACAGAUAAGGCAGAUCAUGAUUUCAAUGCUAAUCAAUGAACCUGAUGAGCCAAAGAGACAAAGCUUUGGGAGGGAAAAUCAUGAAGAAACACACUUCCUAAACUCCACUCUUUAUGGUAAUGAAAAAACGAAAAACAUUUGAGAAUAUAAAUCACUGUACUUGUCUCUUUUUAUCAUGUCCUCCAUUUCCAAGAAUAAAUGAAAAGUAUAAUGACAAAUACAGCAUUUCCGUCCAACUAAAGCAUAACAUGCAAAUAAUGAGGUAGUUUUCAGAAGAAGGUACCAUUUCUCCUUCCUGAAUAUUUCUUCGAGCAAAGGGUCCCCAUCCAUGUAUACCAGAUUUACCGAAACAUAUUCGAUGCUUUUCUGUCCUCUGAAACAGUAAUUUAAUAUUAGCCAUUAUGAAAGACACAUCAAGCAAAAUGCGAUGAUAAAAAUUGGAGUAGCAAACGUACUUGUUAAUGACCAUGACAUAGUUAUAAUCAACCUCUUGGCUGUCGAACCUUCUGCAUAAUCAUCCAAGUAAAAUCAUAUUUUUCCAGGACAAGGCAGCAUGCACCAUAUAGUUUUUAGUCAAUGGAUCAUAGUUGUUAAAUCUUCUAGGUUAAAUCUUCUAGGCAAUAGACUUAACAAAAUGGCUCUGGACAUGAGAUUGAAGCAGAGAAUUAAAACAUGUAGACAAGGGGAACCAAUCUAACCUAUGAUCGGCGCAAUAUAUCAACUUCUUUGUUAUUUGACUCCCACUCUUCUCCAGACAGUGUAACUGAAAACAAAGAUAUAGAAUCAGUGUAAACUUACAUGAGUAUCUAUCUAACAUAUCCUUCCUUGAAAUCCAACGCCAAAGAAAAUAGAAAGAAAGCAAGAGCGAGCGUCAGAAUAGAUUAAAAAAUCCAGCUCAAGAAAUUCUACCAAUGUUAGUUCUGAUAAAAGUCAUGAAAAUAAUAUAUAUCUAUAUAAGGACUUACUUCCAUGCUGUGUCCUGCUCUUGCAGCACACAUAACUUGAAAAUAAGUAGGACAUCUGCUGCAUUGAGUGCAGGAACCAUGAGUCUGCUUACAUAUUACACAACUCUGCACCACAAGCAAAGAAAAGCAUUUGAAAAGAAGCACUGAGCAUCUAGAAGUUAAUGGCAAAUAAACUAAGCAGUAGACAACAAACAAAAUCAACACAUCAAACUCAAAUACUCAACUGAACAGUAAGCUGCUAUAAAGCUAUUAUGAAAUCAGGUUCUCCUCUAUUGCUAAACGCUUUUAUCAUUUCCACAAUAAGUACAAUCCACCACAUCAAAGAAACAGCAAUCUUCAAAACUGUAAAUCUAAAUAAGUAUGGAUUACCUUCAAAAAAGAAGUUGGAGGAAUUCUAAGUAUUCCAGUGGCUGGUUCCAUUUUCUCAUGAUUCAGAAAGCCAACUUCAGGGCAAAACCACGCGCAUGUGACAUGAACCCAGAGCGGCUCGAUAUCCGUUGGCUUCAAAGCACCCCCUAGAGACCAGCAUUUAAGCCAGUCAAAAUAAUUUCAAGCAAGAAAAUACUAACUCACACAACACCAAGACAUAGAUUUAGAGCAAAAGUCAGACAACUGUGAUAAUGAAUUUCAUAUGAUACGGCUUCCUCAAAAUCCCAAUAGUAAUAUUUCUAAAAAAUCAAAAGUGAUAUAUCUAAUAUUGUCACCAUGAACGUCAAAUAAUUUAAAAGUAUAAGAAACAACAUAUGAGGACAAUAGGAGAUUAAGACAUUGAAUCUAACCUUCCACCAGACAAAGACAACACUGCCUCCUCACAUCAGGCGUUUCACAUGCCCUGCAAACCCAUGAAGUGAAGUCUUGGACGUUGUUUACCCCAUAACAUUCUUGAUGCACAGCUAUCUGACACCUGCAAUCAAGAGUGAAUCCAGUUCAUUUACAGAAGAAGACAAACUAUCUAGUGACCUUUGAUUCAAAUACCAAAAAAAAGGUGGACAAAUGCUAUCUGAAAAGAUAUAAGACCUGUUGCAGAUUAUCAUUUUGUUAUAGUCCCAAUCUUCAACCCAUCUACAUACGGCACACCUUUCCGUCAUCCAUUUAGCAGAAACAGGCACAUAACUCUCUGCCAAAAAGAUAAAAUAAAUAAUAAAGCACUUCAUUCAUUCCAAACACUAAGAUUCUUUUUUUUUUCGCAGCAGGGGGAAUUCUGCUCGCAAACUUCAGCCUCUAGCUUUUGUUUUCGAAAUAUCUGUCUCUUGAUAUAAUAGUAAAGGAAGUAACUAAAACUGACCUCAACAAGCACUGAACAGGAAAAGCAGGUCCAACACAAGCCUAUAAGUCUCAUCUAAAUAAGAAGAUCAGGCCAAUCAUUAGCAGAACUGAUCAAAGGCACUGAACGUUGAACACAAUGUGUUGUAACAGCGACAAGCUUAACAAGACAUAAAGUUGAAGCAACAUUAAAAUUCACUAAAAUCCCAUCCCUGAUACUAUCCCAUCCCUGAUACUAUCAAAACCACAUGAAGCAACAGAAACUACCACAAUUCGCAGAUCAUCGGAUAUAAAAAAUGCUUGUGCUCGAGAGUAACAAAGCAGCACUAUAUCUAAGCAGCUAUUUGCUUCCUUAAAAGUCUUCAAUUCGCUUAAAAGCAAUAAUCAGAAAAGCAUCGAGAGGUCUGUUUCGCAACAACUAAAAAGCUCUAACCCAAAGCAAAAGCACCUCCUCCCAUGAAAACACCUCAGAACCCUAGCUUGGUGCGGCGCCAGUGCCUGCGCUUCGCGUUGUACCUGAACGAUUUCGGCGACAAAAAUUAGGCCACAAAAAAAUAAAAUAAAAUAAGAAGACGGCUUUUUUUGGACAAAACGUGAAGGAAUUGGAUAUGAACCUGAUGGUGUUGUCGGUCCGCAUGCGAAUCCAGUGAGGGAUGGGCCUGUUCUGCCUCAUCUUCUUCACCAGCUUCUUCUUGAUCUGGCGACGGCGAGCACGCGGCGACAGUGGCGCGACGGCGACGAAGGCACGAGUCUCACAGCACCAACGGCGGCAUGAACGGCGCACCGAAGACGGCGGCAGCCGCGGCUCAACCCACGGCCAAGGGGGAAGAGCUCAGUUCGGGCGGAGGUGGUGACGGUUCGGAGCAACGAUGGCCCGGACGGCUGAGCAAGCGGCAGCAAGAGGUGGUGAUGGUGGCUUGGGGACGGCGGCGGUGCCUCACGGUGGCGCGGACGGCAAGACAGCUCGUCGGGCUCAACGGUGAGACGGCUUGUUGGACGAGCAGUGGGUGGCGGGGGUUCGGUGGCCAACAGGUGGUGGUGAGUAGGGCGUGGGGGCGGGCGGUGUGGUGGUGGGUGAAGCAGCAACCGGCGAGAGGAAGGAAGAAGAAGAAGAAGAGGUGGGGGGGGAUGGCCGAGAGAGGGGGAAAGAGAAAGAGAGAGAGAGAGAGAAGAGAGAAGAAAAGAAAAAAGUUGGGGGGCCAGGAAGUGACGGGAGGAGGAAAAAGUGGAGAAAAGAGAGAAGGGAAAAGAACAGGGAAGGGGGGAAAGUUGAACAGAGGGGGGGGGGAAUCGCGUGGAAGGAAUUAGGGUUUUUUAUUUUUUAACUUUGUCGGUUCCGGUUCCUAUGGGAACCGAACCGGAACCUCCUCCGGUUCGGUUCCGGUUCCCGGUUCUACCCGGAACCACGCUCACCCCUACUUGCAACAGCUGAUGGAGUGAAAUACUAUGAUAUCAUUGAGGGAAAGGGUCGAGUAGCUACAAAAGGAUCGACAGUCCAGGUUUGUUGAUGUUGGUUUUCUGUUUAUAAUUCCUUGAGCAAUAUAUGAACUGGUAACAUUCUGUGUUCAAUCCUCUGUUGCAAGUGCAUUUUGACUGUAUUUAUCGUGGUAUUACUGCUGUAUCAAGUCGAGAAUCUAAGCUUUUAGCUGGAAAUCGCAUCAUUGCUCAGGUCUUAUACUUUGGAUUUUCUUUUUUCAUUUCGUUUUGUUUUUUGUUACAGAGAAAUUUCCCUCAUUUUUGACUUGUGCCUUAUCUGGACAAAUGCUUUGCUAAUGUGCAAGCUUACUUGGCAUUAUUAGCCAUAUGAAUUCAAGGUAGGAUCUCCUCCAGGAAAGGAACGCAAGCGUGGAUCUGUAGAUAAUCCAAAUGGAUUAUUUUCAGCACAGGCAGCUCCCAAGCCGCCACCUGCUAUGUACUCGAUAACAGAAGGGAUGAAAGUGGGUGGAAAGGUGAUUUUAUCUCGGUUCCCAGUGGCAGUAAAUAUUCAUCAAUGUGGCUAGUUUGCCGUUCAGUACCUGAAUUGCAUUCCCUUUGACUAGUGCUGUUGUAUUUUCCUUGUCAUAUCUUCUCUGUCUUAUUGUUCUUGAACUUUUGUCCUUUUCCAGAGAACAGUGAUCGUUCCUCCAGAGGCUGGCUACGGUCAGAAGGGAAUGGCUGAGAUACCGGUAGUCUUUAUAUUCUUGGUCAUGACUAACAAUCAUUUUUGUUGUGACAUGAGUACCUUUAUUAUGGAAAUCAGCAGGUCAUCAAAUGAUGUCAUUGGGAAUUAACAAACUUUGUGCUUAGGAGCUGAACAUACCACCAAAUGCCCGGUUCUUAGAGCUUGCUUGAAUUUUAUUGCGUCUUUUAAGAUUUCAAUUCCAAUCCUAAAUGAGGUUUUCAGUAUAUAUGCCUGCUGGCUGGAGUUCAGCUGCAUUUGGCAUCUCUGAACGUGUCAUUACAUGUUGUUGAAAGGUUAAUAUGAUUUAUUCCCAAGAGUAAUUGUGUUUUCCUUUUCCAGCCAGGAGCCACCUUUGAACUGAAUAUCGAGCUUCUGCAAGCAGAACGGCCUGAAGGAAACCAGACUUAGAAUUGGGUGAGCAGGACCAUGAGGAGAUGGAGUUGAUAUAAUGCUGAAAUUUUGUCUCUUUUUCUUCUAACAGAAGGCAGAUGAGUCAGCUGAGGGAUUUUUAUGGGCAGAGAAAUUAGUCAGAUUGAAAUUGUGACUCUCCAGUUUCUACAUAUGUUCUGUACCAAAAAAGCCCCUGCACAUUUUGUAUGUAUCUACCAGGAUUUUGGAAUUCAACGAAACACCUUCUUCAUCUCCUUCAUCUUCUUAUAUUCUUGUUUCUAAUGCUGCAGAAAUUCACUGAUAUUGUCUGUACUGUAUAAAUGAGACUAUUGACCGCAGGAGUAGAGACUAAAUUUCCAAACUUCUCUCCCAUCCUCUUUAAGGAAAACAAGAUCGGCACCUGCUUGCAACAAGCUCUGGUUUAUCUUAUCACAAGAAUGGGAACAUUGGAUGAUAGUUAGGAACAGUGUUUUUGUGCUCUGCCAUAUUUACAGUUGCGAAUUUGGCAUACUUGUUCCAUCAACCUUGAACAUUUGUUGAAUGAAGAAGCAAAAUUUAGACGGAUGAGGAGCAUGCAAGUUGCAACAGAAUUGCAUAUUAUGUCAAAACAACGAGUAGUCCACUAUGUCAUUUUUUUUUCUUUUGAAUUGCUGGCAUUUUUCUUUAAUAAUGGAAAAAUCCACCAUGGAUAAACUCCAACCUGUGAGAUUCCUCAAUAAUCUUGUAGACAAGUCACACGGGAGCCAAAAUUUCUGUUUUCCUUUUGGAAAUUGUGCGCGGCAUUUUACAUAUUAAUCUUAGUACGAAGCACGAAACCUAAAAUCAAUAGGGAAGGGUGGUUUUACGAUAACUUCCGUUUUCUAUCAGUGCUUCAUAUUGUGCUAAAUGAUUAGAUCCUGUUUAUUAUUAUUUGAUAGUCUCAGUUUUUGUGGUUUUAUGGCAUGAUAAGGGCCAUUUUCAGCAAUUAAUUUUGUCAGCUUGAUAUUCCAAUUGCCAAAAUCCCACACCAGUAAUCCUCUUAGAAUAUACACACAUUCGUUCAUUACCCAUUGAAUACAUUAUACAUGCGAUGGACUAAUGGAGUAUUUCAUAAAACAAAGAAAACACGCAACGGAGAUGUCACUUUAUCUUUAAGGAACAUUUACAUUUUCGUUGAAAUGUAUUUUCCCUUGGUUCAUUUCUAGCAAAACUAAAAGAAUCGUUUCAUUUUAUAUUUGAUUAGUGUGUAUUUUGAUAAUUAGAUGGGUCUGGUUUACAUGAUUCUAGUUUAUUCAAUAAUUAACUAUCAUCAAUUGUUCGCUUUUAUAAAAAAAAUUCACUAUCACAAGUCAGAACAUGAGGCCGAAAUUGUUUGAAAAUGAAUGGGAAGAAAAUGGAUAAUUAUAACCUAAAAUUAUAUUGUUUCGGGCACUUAAGUACUAAGACUUUAUUUUAUUUAUUUAAAUUCUAAAACUUGCCAUUUUGAUGAAUUUUAAGACCUUCCUUCAGUUGAUGAAAGGACCAAUUGAACCGAAAGUUACAAAUUCUAGGAUUCAAAUGCAAGGAAUGAAGGUAUUAGAACUUAAGUACAUGAAAUUGACAAGUUUAAGGAUUUACGUUAAUAGUUUGCCUGAAAGAAAAUAUGAGCUUAAAUCAGCAUGAAAAUGAAAACAUUUCACUUUUCCGUUUCUCACAUAAUUUAAUUAUUUGUAUGCUAAUGAAAUAUUUUGAAAUGCCUGGGAGGCAACCAGACAAACAGCUCACACGAUCAGGGAUGAUUACAUCAUACCCCCUUAGGUUUUCGGUUGUGGCAAUUUGCCCUUAAUAACUCAAUUUUUCCAUGUCCUCUAGGCAUUUUGAAAUUUAGUGCAAUGUUGACCAAACACUCUGCAUGGUAUCUCUCAUUUUAGAUUUGAUGAAAUGGGAUGAACUAAGAUGAGAUAUAGGGAAAAAAAAAAGAGUGGAUAGUGAUUGCUAAUGGAGAUCGGCAAUACCUAUUACCUUGGGAUUGGUCGGUGCUCAGAGUGACAAUGGUCAAUGAUUUAGGUGCUCCUGCUUGAAAUAUCAUUGCGUAAAAAAGAGUCAUAUUGAGCGAGAGACGACGAUCAAUCCUUUAUGGGGUGACAAAACCUAAGAAAGGGCAAAUGCCCAAGUAUCCUAGUUGUAAAUCAAUUCCCCCUCCCCCCUCUCCUCAUUAUCUUUUUUUAGUUUUCUUUCAUUUUGUUUAGUCAUAAGUUGAAGGAUUCAUUUAGCUCUAAAGGGGAAAAACCCUGCCAAACUUUGCUGCUUUAAGACCAUAUCAUUGCAGAUGAAUGUUCGGCUUUAGAACAAUCAACUUGGAAGGAUUUUUCACCUACAUGGUUUCUGACGGGGAGGUUCUUUUAAUCCAGAGGGGCAACAACAGAGCUUGUCCUAAGGGUGUUUUGCUCCUCCAAUCUCUGCUAUGCCCAAAUAAAGAUCAAGGGUCUUUAAAUUGUCAAGUUCUAUGAAGGCAAAAAAAUAUAUAAAAUAAAAAUAAAAAGAAAAAAAGAAAAAUCUAAUCUUGUCUUUGCUGGUUCUGUUCCUUCUCACAUAAUAAGCAGAGUCAGUUCAACUUCGAAGGCAGAGGUGGCUUGCUAAUGCGUUGUCCCUGUUGACAGAGUAAGCUGUACCUGAAAUUGAUCUAAUCUAGUGAAAAUCUAUAGAUGGAGAUAUCAGAAUGGCAUUCACUCUUGAGUUCAAUUUUUGAAUUUUCUGUCGGGUACUUGCAAAGAGACAAAUUAAUGAUCUCACGGCAGAGGCUUGGUUUGGAAGAGUACGUGGCUCGCAGAAAGGCUCGUUUCUAACCUUAUUGAGCUGCAUAGAAUUGGUUAAUGACAUCUGGUCAUACCAAAGUUGACCUGAAGUGGCCUCUCAAUUGGCUAAUUCAUUAGAUAAGUGCAUGGUAUGUUGCAGCGUGGCAGCAAAUCUGGAUUGGCAUCAUGACUAUUUUCACGCUGCUGUUACUUUCAACUUGCUUGAAUUUUCAUUGCUGUCUAACGAUAGGUUGCAAGAAUGAGCAUGCAAUCAGGGGUUCCAUUGGAGCAUACGUUCAUGAUCUUACUUGAAACUAUUCGUCGAGAAAAUAACAUCAGAUAAUAUACAAGAUGUAUGACUAAGCACCAUGUGACCUAGUAGUUUCUACCGUAUGGACAAGAUGAACUACGACAGGUGAUAUAAUAAUUUCUCAAGUUUUCUCUUCUCUGACGGAUACAUAAUCAGUGUUGUUUAUGAGUGCAGACAUACUUAGAAAAUGCACAACCAGAGAGAAACAAUCAUUUUCGUAAGAAGAUAAUGAAUGACUACUAUUCCCCUUCUGUAUCAUUGCACCGGCAUAAGGCCCUUGAUGCAGAGUCUUAAGCAUUGCUGUGAAAUUUCCAAGUCAAUCUAAGUCAUAAAGUUCUUUUGUUGAGAUUCAUACUGUUCACAAGCUUCCCAAAUGAGCAAUGAUCCUCUGUUUUGGGACAAAGAUAGGAUACUCUGGAAUAAGAAACUGCUAUUUUGGAUUCAGCUUUGUCAUGUAGAAUAUUUCAAAGCUUAAUUUCCGUGUCAGUGGUAGCUCGACAACGGUGUGGUAGAGUUAGUUUUACUUCUGGUGAUGUGGUUCCGUGUGUCUGACGUCACAAUUAAGAGUUCCUAUACUUGUAAACAUUACGCAAUUUUCACUUCCAUUCUCCUGAGGAUGUGAGACCACUUUUCUACUGUUGGAGAACUGUUAAGUCCAAGCAACCGUCACUGGUCCAGAAGAAAAUACUUGCAAUCAUGUUUAUGUUAUGCAGUUUCAUCUGCAUCCAAUUGUCAAGAAAUGAAGUCGACUUUAUUUACAACAAAAUUGAGCCACAAAAUGCAUCUUGAGCAUUAUUGACAGAGAAAUACUUGGAGGAUAAACCCAAGCCAAAAUCAGUAUAGGAAGAGAAGAACAGGGAAGGGAUUAGAGAAAAAGCAAAUGGGUCAAGACAGCAUCCAGCUGUGAGUAGCUGCAUUAUAAGGAGGAAUAACUUGACAUUCUAAUCUUGGUAUUACAACCACUCCUAGCUUACUUGCUCAUUGCAGUGCCGCCACUUUCAGUGUGCUGCAUGUUUUUUUAAUCAAAAGCUGUGUAUUGAUCGGCAGCCACUUCCCUAGUCAAACAGAAGCGCAAACCAUGUUACAUUCAGAGACCACAUGGGUCAAAUAAUGUUGACUAAAAAUGAAAGGAGAUCUCCUGGUUCCUGAAUUAAACCUAGCCACAUAUGCACGAUGAAUAACAGAGUCCUAAACGAAUAGGUCACCAACUAAUCUUUCAGUCCUUGGUUUGAGACAUAGUUUUGGAGAUGUAGAACUGCCUGCAUCUGCUGCCGCACUAAAAUCACAAGGUGAGAGGACCCUUAUAGUUUCAUUCUAAAAAAUGUCCAAGGACAAGCCCGGACUGAUUGUUCAUAGGUCUUUACGUAUCUAUACAUAUUUUAGUUCCUUGGAGACAUGAGUCUAUACCAUCCUGAAGUGAUUCUCUUUUUCAGAUCUUAGUCGGAGCAUCAAAGAACGGCUAGGAACAUUGAUAAGGACUUGAUCUACACCAGCAAUUGAAAGGAUAAACAAUUCAUUAACGGUCUAGAGAUAAAGAAACAUGCAUUCAAAUGUGAAAUCCUUUAACAUCGAAGAUAAAGAAACACGCUUUCCUACUUCAAAAAAGUAUUGACUCUUCAUCAAAGACAAAGAAACAAAUAGUGAAAUCUUUUAUAAGGAGGCCAGCACUAAUUGUGUUCACUAAUUCAAAUGUGAAUUAUUUUAAUAUCAAAAAAGAAACACGCGUUCCUACUUCUUUAAUAUGUUCACAUCUGAUUGAUUCUUGUACGUUUAUGAAUGUCCAAGGACAAACCCGUUUCUAUGGACUGAUUGUUCAUAAGUCUUUACAUAUCUCUACGUAUUUUAGUUCCUUGGAGACAUGAGUCUAUACCAUCCUGAAGCUAUUCUCUUUUUCAGAUCUUAGUCGGAGCAUCCAAGAACGGCCAGGAACAUUGAUAAGGGCUUGAUCUACUCCAGCAAUAGAAAGGAUACACAAUUCAUUAACGGUCUAGAGAUAAAGAAACAUGCAUUCAAAUGUGAAAUCCUUUAACAUCGAAGAUAAAGAAACACGCUUUCCUACUUCAAAAAAGUGUUGACUCUUCACCGAAGACAAAGAAACAAACAGUGAAAUCUUUUAUAAGGAGGCCAGUACUAAUUGUGUUCACUAAUUCAAAUGUGAAAUAUUUUAAUAUCGAAAAAGAAACACGCGUUCCUACUUUUUUAACAUGUUCACAUUUGAUUGACUCUCGUACGUUUAUAGUUUCAUUCUAAAAAAUGUCCAAGGACAAACCCGUUUCUAUGGACUGAUUGUUCAUAGGUUUUUACGUAUCUAUAUGUAUUUUAGUUCCUUGUAGACAUGAGUCUAUACCAUCCUGAAGCUAUUCUCUUUUUCAGAUCUUAGUCGGAGCAUCCAAGAACGGCCAGGAACAUUGAUAAGGGCUUGAUAUGCUCCAGCAAUAGAAAGGAUAAACAAUUCAGUAACGGUCUAGAGAUAAAGAAACAUGCAUUCAAAUGUGAAAUCCUUUAACAUCGAAGAUAAAGAAACACGCUUUCCUACUUCAAAAAAGUGUUGACUCUUCACCGAAGACAAAGAAACAAACAGUGAAAUCUUUUAUAAGGAGGCCAGUACUAAUUGUGUUCACUAAGUCAAAUGUGAAAUAUUUUAAUAUCGAAAAAGAAACAUGCAUUCCUACUUUUUUAACAUGUUCACAUCUGAUUGACUCUCGUAGUUUAUAGUUUCAUUCUAAAAAAUGUCCAAAGACAAACCUGUUUCUAUGGACUGAUUGUUCAUAGGUCUUUACGUAUCUAUACGUAUUUUAGUUCCUUGGAGACAUGAGUCUAUACCAUCCUGAAGCUAUUCUCUUUUUCAGAUCUUAGUCGGAGCAUCCAAGAACGGCCAGGAACAUUGAUAAGGGCUUGAUCUACUCCAGCAAUAGAAAGGAUACACAAUUCAUUAACGGUCUAGAGAUAAAGAAACAUGCAUUCAAAUGUGAAAUCCUUUAACAUCGAAGAUAAAGAAACACGCUUUCCUACUUCAAAAAAGUAUUGACUCUUCAUCAAAGACAGAAACAAACAGUGAAAUCUUUUAUAAGGAGGCCAGUACUAAUUGUGUUCACUAAUUCAAAUGUGAAAUAUUUUAAUAUCGAAAAAGAAACACGCGUUCCUACUUUUUUAACAUGUUCACAUUUGAUUGACUCUCGUACGUUUAUAGUUUCAUUCUAAAAAAUGUCCAAGGACAAACCCGUUUCUAUGGACUGAUUGUUCAUAGGUUUUUACGUAUCUAUAUGUAUUUUAGUUCCUUGUAGACAUGAGUCUAUACCAUCCUGAAGCUAUUCUCUUUUUCAGAUCUUAGUCGGAGCAUCCAAGAACGGCCAGGAACAUUGAUAAGGACUUGAUCUACAUCAGCAAUUGAAAGGAUAAACAAUUCAUUAACGGUCUAGAGAUAAAGAAACAUGCAUUCAAAUGUGAAAUCCUUUAACAUUGAAGAUAAAGAAACACACUUUCCUACUUCAAAAAAGUAUUGACUCUUCAUCAAAGACAAAGAAACAAAUAGUGAAAUCUUUUAUAAGGAGGCCAGCACUAAUUGUGUUCACUAAUUCAAAUGUGAAUUAUUUUAAUAUCGAAAAAGAAACACGCGUUCCUACUUCUUUAAUAUGUUCACAUCUGAUUGAUUCUUGUACGUUUAUGAAUGUCCAAGGACAAAUCCGUUUCUAUGGACUGAUUGUUCAUAGGUUUUUACGUAUCUAUAUGUAUUUUAGUUCCUUGUAGACAUGAGUCUAUACCAUCCUGAAGCUAUUCUCUUUUUCAGAUCUUAGUUGGAGCAUCCAAGAACGGCCAGGAACAUUGAUAAGGGCUUGAUCUACUCCAGCAAUAGAAAGGAUAAACAAUUCAGUAACGGUCUAGAGAUAAAGAAACAUGCAUUCAAAUGUGAAAUCCUUUAACAUCGAAGAUAAAGAAACACGCUUUCCUACUUCAAAAAAGUAUUGACUCUUCAUCAAAGACAAAGAAACAACAGUGAAAUCUUUUAUAAGGAGGUCAGUACUAAUUGUGUUCACUAAUUCAAAUGUGAAAUAUUUUAAUAUUGAAAAAGAAACAUGCAUUCCUACUUCUUUAACAUGUUCACAUCUGAUUGACUCUCGUACGUUUAUAGUUUCAUUCUAAAAAAUGUCCAAAGACAAACCUGUUUCUAUGGACUGAGUGUUCAUAGGUCUUUACGUAUCUAUACGUAUUUUAGUUCCUUGGAGACAUGAGUCUAUACCAUCUUGAAGCUAUUCUCUUUUUCAGAUCUUAGUCGGAGCAUCCAAGAACGGCCAGGAACAUUGAUAAGGGCUUGAUCUACUCCAGCAAUAGAAAGGAUACACAAUUCAUUAGCGGUCUAGAGAUAAAGAAACAUGCAUUCAAAUGUGAAAUCCUUUAACAUUGAAGAUAAAGAAACACGCUUUCCUACUUCAAAAAAGUAUUGACUCUUCAUCGAAGACAAAGAAAAAAACAGUGAAAUCUUUUAUAAGGAGGCCAGUACUAAUUGUGUUCACUAAGUCAAAUGUGAAAUAUUUUAAUAUCGAAAAAGAAACACGCGUUCCUACUUUUUUAACAUGUUCACAUUUGAUUGACUCUCGUACGUUUAUAGUUUCAUUCUAAAAAAUGUCCAAGGACAAACCCGUUUCUAUGGACUGAUUGUUCAUAGGUUUUUACGUAUCUAUAUGUAUUUUAGUUCCUUGUAGACAUGAGUCUAUACCAUCCUGAAGCUAUUCUCUUUUUCAGAUCUUAGUCGGAGCAUCCAAGAACGGCCAGGAACAUUGAUAAGGACUUGAUCUACAUCAGCAAUUGAAAGGAUAAACAAUUCAUUAACGGUCUAGAGAUAAAGAAACAUGCAUUCAAAUGUGAAAUCCUUUAACAUUGAAGAUAAAGAAACACACUUUCCUACUUCAAAAAAGUAUUGACUCUUCAUCAAAGACAAAGAAACAAAUAGUGAAAUCUUUUAUAAGGAGGUCAGUACUAAUUGUGUUCACUAAUUCAAAUGUGAAAUAUAUUAAUAUCGAAAAAGAAACACGCGUUCCUACUUCUUUAAUAUGUUCACAUCUGAUUGAUUCUUGUACGUUUAUGAAUGUCCAAGGACAAACCCGUUUCUAUGGACUGAUUGUUCAUAAGUCUUUACAUAUCUCUACGUAUUUUAGUUCCUUGGAGACAUGAGUCUAUACCAUCCUGAAGCUAUUCUCUUUUUCAGAUCUUAGUCGGAGCAUCCAAGAACGGCCAGGAACAUUGAUAAGGGCUUGAUCUACUCCAGCAAUAGAAAGGAUACACAAUUCAUUAACGGUCUAGAGAUAAAGAAACAUGCAUUCAAAUGUGAAAUCCUUUAACAUCGAAGAUAAAGAAACACGCUUUCCUACUUCAAAAAAGUGUUGACUCUUCACCGAAGACAAAGAAACAAACAGUGAAAGCUUUUAUAAGGAGGCCAGUACUAAUUGUGUUCACUAAGUCAAAUGUGAAAUAUUUUAAUAUCGAAAAAGAAACAUGCAUUCCUACUUUUUUAACAUGUUCACAUCUGAUUGACUCUCGUAGUUUAUAGUUUCAUUCUAAAAAAUGUCCAAAGACAAACCUGUUUCUAUGGACUGAUUGUUCAUAGGUCUUUACGUAUCUAUACGUAUUUUAGUUCCUUGGAGACAUGAGUCUAUACCAUCCUGAAGCAAUUCUAUUUUUCAGAUCUUAGUCGGAGCAUCCAAGAAUGGCCAGGAACAUUGAUAAGGGUUUGAUCUACUCCAGCAAUUGAAAGGAUAAACAAUUCAUUAACGGUCUAGAGAUAAAGAAACGUGCGUUCAAAUGUGAAAUCCUUUAACAUUGAAGAUAAAGAAACACGCUUUCCUACUUUAAGAUGGGAUUCACUGGCCUCUUGUUUCUUCUUGACUUGCUUUCUUAGCUACCCGCUUGCUUCGCCUUUGAGUCAUGAAACCCGUGAGCCUUAGCUUUGCAGAGUUUCGAUCAUGCCACUUGCUUCUUGGGAUUGCUCUUGCGCUGUGCUUUAACCGAGUUUCCUGCACCACCAAUGAAACAGACAGACUCGCGCUGCUCGCCUUUAAGGCCGGCAUAUCCGAAGAUCCUUUUGGGGUGCUCAGCUCAUGGAACGAUAGCAUUGGGUUUUGCCAGUGGUAUGGCAUUAUAUGUGGCAGGAGACAUCGGAGGGUCACGGUGCUGGACUUGCGUUCACAAGGACUAUUCGGAUCAAUCUCUCCUCAUGUCGGAAACCUCAGCUUCUUAGGGGAAAUGUGGCUACAAAACAACAGUUUCAAUCAAGAAAUCCCUCCACAGCUCGGUCAGUUGCGCCGCCUGCGUAUUCUGAAAUUUACCAGCAACUCGUUAAUUGGUGAAAUUCCCAGAAACAUAUCGGGUUGCUCGGAUUUGGUCCUCCUUUGGCUUGGGAAGAACAAACUAACUGGAGAAAUUCCUAGAGAGCUUGGGUCAUUGCUGAAGCUACGGGAGUUCGCUUUGCAUAAAAAUAAUCUUACCGGGAGUAUGCCUUCCUCCAUUGGGAACUUAUCUUCACUGGAGAUCCUUGUCUUGAGGGAGAACAACUUGAGCGGGAGCAUUCCCCAAGUUUUAGGCCACCUGAAAAACUUGCAAUUCAUUAGCUUGGCAAUAAACGCAGUGUCGGGUACGAUUCCAUCUUCAUUACUCAAUCUCUCUUCCCUAAUUGCGUUUGAUGCUGGAAACAACCAGAUACAUGGGACACUUCCUGCAAGCAUAGGUCUCAAACUCCAAUAUCUCUCAACCAGCUUUCAGGUGAUAUCCCCUCAAAUUUGGGGAAUUUACAAAAUCUAUCAUACCUGGAAUUAAGUGAUAACAACCUAGGAGGGACUAUUCCAUCUUCUUUAGGAAAUCUAAGCAAGUUGAUUUCCCUAUUCCUUGAUGGGAACAACUUUCAUGGGCCAAUUCCUCCACCUCUAUCAAAUUGCCUGUCUCUUAAUUUGCUCGAUCUGUCUGAUAACAAUCUCAGUGGUGCCAUACCCCCGCAACUUAUGGGUCUCCCAUCAUUAGCAAUCAUUUUGAACUUAUCUCAUAACCAUCUUACUGGGUUUCUACCCCCAAAAAUUGGCAAUUUGAGAACUUUGACUAUGUUGGACAUCUCGAACAAUUUAUUGGUAGGUGAAAUCCCAAGCGGUUUAGGUGAAUGCACUUCACUGACAUCGCUGUGGAUGGGAGGCAACUUUUUCCACGGGUCGAUUCCUCAAUCAAUGAGAUCGUUAGGAGGCAUUGACGAAUUAGAUCUUUCAUGCAAUAAUUUGUCGGGUCAAAUUCCAGAAUUCUUAAUAGUAUUUCGUUCCUUGAAACUUUUAAAUUUAUCCUACAAUAACUUUGAAGGCGUGCUGCCAUGUGAAGGAGUCUUUAGGAAUGCUACUGGUACUUCUAUUAUUGGGAACAAUAAGCUUUGUGGUGGGCUACCGGAAUUUCAUCUCCCUAAUUGCAUUUCCAAAAGCUUCAAGAGUAGAAAGAUCAAUUUAGUGAUAUUGUCCACUUCUGUUAUUCUCGGAGUUCUUGGAAUAGCUCUUAUUCUAGCUUCCAUAUAUCUUUGUUGGUUGAAGAAGAUAGUGAUGGAACCAGUUUCAAGUUCAAGGGAUGAUUCAUGUCCAAAUGUAUCUUAUGGAACACUCCUAAAAGCAACCGAUGGUUUUUCUUCAACAAAUUUGAUUGGUGCUGGAAGCUUUGGUUCUGUUUACAGGGGUGUACUUGAGGUCAGUGGAACUACUGUUGCCGUGAAGGUGCUUCAUCUAGUCUGUCAUGGUGCUUUGAAGAGCUUCAAUGUCGAGUGCGAGGCAUUAAAGAACAUCAGACAUCGAAAUCUUUUGAAGAUAUUGACAGUUUGCUCUGACAGUGAUUAUCAAGGAAAUGAUUUUAAGGCCUUAGUUUAUGAAUUCAUGGACAAUGGUAGCCUAGAACGGUGGCUUCACCCAAGUGCAACAUCAUCUCAUCACAAUGGAGUUCCAAGAAAGUUGAAUUUCAUUCAAAGGAUAAAUAUUGCUAUUGGCGUUGCUUCUGCAGUGGAUUAUCUUCAUCACCAGUGCCACAUCCCCAUCAUUCAUUGUGAUCUAAAGCCAAGCAAUAUCCUCUUAGAUUCUGAGAUGGUCGCACAUGUUGGUGACUUUGGAUUGGCGAAAUUCCUUAUUGGAUCAUCUUUUGGUACCGCAGCUAAUCAGAUGAGUUCUGUGGGUUUUAGAGGGACAAUCGGUUAUGCUCCACCAGGUACUCUCUCCCUCCCUCUCUCUUUCCCUCCCCUCUCUCUCUCUCUCUCUCUCUCUCUCUCUCUCUCUCUCUCUCUCUCAUUGAUGGUCUUUCGUCCGAAGUUUGGUAGCAAAUAAUAAUUCUUAUAGUCUUAUGCAAAUUAGAUUCUGAUUGAUGAUAUGCACUCCAAAUUUGACCUGCACUUUGAUCUCCAUGUGUGGCAGAAUAUGCAAUGGGAUGUGAGGUUUCAAGAGAAGGUGAUGUCUAUAGUUAUGGCAUUCUUUUACUAGAAAUGUUCACAGGAUUAAGUCCCACCGAUGACACCUUUAGAGACAAUUUGACUCUUCAUGGUUUUGUCGCAAAAGCUUUGCCUGAUCAAGUGCUCGAAAUCACGGAUAGCCCUCUGCUUCAAGAAAGAGAGAGCCAUCUAAGUCGCUAUAAUCCUCAGCAUGACAUAUUUCAAGAGCGUUUGGCUAUGAUCUAUAAUAUUGGAGUUGCUUGUUCAAACGAAGUGCCUGGAAGACGAAUAAGCAUUAGCGGAGUUAUAAAUCAGCUACAUCGAAUUAGGGAGAAACUCUUUGCUUUGGGUUUACAUGGACCGGUAAAUUCUAUAACCGAAGAGAGAAUCAACCAUCCUUUUCUCCUUUAGACCAUAGUCGAUGAUUAUUGAUCAUUGGCAUCUAUACAUAUCUAACCUUACACAAGGCCUUGGGUGCCUACACAUUUUUCGGUAUUUUUGGUUUACUCAAAGCUUUGAUUUGGUGCCAUGUUAUGUAAAAGUGAAUCAAAAUAAAUUUUCAUGACCUUUUUUUUUUCCCAUUUGUAUGAUGCUCAUUAAGACGUAUUGCAAUUGAUAAGCUUGUGGAAAUCUUAUUUAAGGGAAAGCUUGGUUUCUGCAGAUCGACUAGGAAUGGGCUGCCAGGAAUUGAACUAAUGUUCCUAAAGCUACGUUCGGUCAAGAAAAAGCAAUACUACUGCUCUGGUGGAUGAAUACAGAUGUAUAGCUUUUGGAUUCAGCAUACUAGCAUGACGUGCACAGCAGGGAUUAUCUGGGAUUGUUUUGUACAAUGAUGUUACAUGACUAUUGGGUUUUUCUUAGUGUGUAAGUGGAAAUUCUCCAACACUAUUGCUGUCAUUAAAUUUUAUUCUCGCGUUUUAGAAAAGUUACUUGAUCGCCUUUUUUCUCUAAAGCACCUAAUCACACAUGCAUAUGACUUACUAUAGGUAUAUGGAGCAGUCAUAUUUCAUUAUAUGGGAUUUGUUAAUUGCGCGGAUAACCAGCUUUCAAAGGUAGAAAUUACCGAUUAACCGUUGAUAUGCUCAAACUUGCUUUUCUAAAUAGAAAGUGACCAUAAAUGUGGUAUUAAAAUGUACAAUUUGAAAGUAAAGAUACUUUUUAUCAUGACAAAAUUAGCGAUCACUGAAAUGCAAACACCUACUUUCCAUGGUGAAAACUUUUACUAGCCGGGUUAUAAGACUUACUCAGUAUAAUCGCAUAGCCGAAUUUUGUAUGAAAGUUAUUAAUGGUGUGGAGAAAAUUAUUAAAUAUUAAUAGGGCAGUAUUAAUUUUCUUCUUAAAGAAAGUUACUAUUCACAUUGACAAAUAACUAGGUAUUAGGGGCAAUUGGUUUCCGAGUUUUAAAAUUGGGAUCCACUAGUCCAGUCUAAUGAAAUUGGUUACUAUUUCUUUUUCAUGUUUUCAUUCAGAUAUCUUAUUAUCCAAAACAUGACAAUGGAAAAAUUCAAAGCUCCAAUGAAUUAAGAUAUCUAAUUCUCAAAUUACAGGCGCUUAUUUUCUCAUAAACGAAAAACUAAACUCACUAAUUCUUUUGAAAAAAUAGAAAAAUAAAUAUAUACUAUCGAUCCGAUUUGAUUUCUCUUGGAAUCAGGACUAUUUGGACACUAAUUUCACUUCUAAGAAAUGGGAACUAGAUUGACACUCUCAGAAAUCGGACCCAACCGGCUGAUUCGGUCUAAUCCGGGUGGUUUCUGGUUCGGGCAGUCCGUUUUGUGCAUCCUACUAAGUACUUUAUUGUAACUUGAUUUCAAAGUGUUGCGGGGUGGAUAAUGCAAAAAAAUCGAGAUACCACGGGGGCAAAUCGCAACAGUCUCAAAAACCUAGGGGGCAUGAUGCAAUCUUUCCCCUAAAAGACCCGCAAAGUCUCGACCCUAUGGGAGUCUGCUGCACUUACACAAAUUCCCACGCCAGUCCGAGAGACGAUCGAGCACUCGCGCAUGAAGAUGGGGUUUCGGUUCGACCUGCUGGUCCUCGCGGUGGCCCUGCUCUCGACUCCGGCGCUCUCCGAUCUGGUGUUGACCAGGGUCGAUCGGCGCGUGAGUCUCUCUCUCUCUCUCCUCUCCUCUCCUCCUUCCUUCUCCCCGCGAGCUCUCGGCCGUUAACUCUUCGAUCCGGCUCGUAUCGAGCAGGUUUUAGGGGGGGUUUUUCCUUUGAGGUCUUUAAGAUGUGAUUGCUUUUGCCGUGAAGUUUGAGCUGGUUCCGAUGCCAUUGGCGUCGUCGAUGUGCGAUUCGCGAAUCGAGUAUCGAGAGAUGUGCCGGGAGGCCUUUGUUGUUUGAAUCAGAUGCGAGGAGGCGGGUUCUGGGGAUGUGUAGGUUUUGUAGGUUUGUUUGCAUUUUAGAGCAUUUGAACUCGUGUCGGAUGAUUGGGCUGUCUGGUAGUGGUUCUUUACUGGAGUGGUCGGUUUUAACGAUCCUCCUGUCGUGACGAUGAUGAGAGUAGAUUGUGUUAAGUGAAUGGGCUCCUCGAAAUUUAAAGGAUUUUUUUGCUGGU